Molecule: small nuclear RNA, 104 nt
Organism: Lemur catta (Ring-tailed lemur)
Lineage: Eukaryota; Metazoa; Chordata; Mammalia; Primates; Lemuridae
Source: RefSeq, a predicted model, not a curated record
GUGCUUGCUUCAGCAGCACAAACACUAAAAUUGGAACAACACAGAGAUUAGCAUGGCCCCUGCACAGGGAUGACAUGCAAAUUUGUGAAGCAUUCCAUUAAAAA